GUUGUGGCUCAGUGGUAGAGUGCUUGCCUGGAAUGUGUGAAGUACUGGGUUCAAUCCUCAGCACAACA
This 68-nucleotide transfer RNA is filed under the name Marmota monax (woodchuck). It matches the Rfam family "tRNA". Rfam says of the family: Transfer RNA (tRNA) molecules are approximately 80 nucleotides in length. Their secondary structure includes four short double-helical elements and three loops (D, anti-codon, and T loops). Further hydrogen bonds mediate the characteristic L-shaped molecular structure. tRNAs have two regions of fundamental functional importance: the anti-codon, which is responsible for specific mRNA codon recognition, and the 3' end, to which the tRNAs corresponding amino acid is attached (by aminoacyl-tRNA synthetases). tRNAs cope with the degeneracy of the genetic code in two manners: having more than one tRNA (with a specific anti-codon) for a particular amino acid; and 'wobble' base-pairing, i.e. permitting non-standard base-pairing at the 3rd anti-codon position. Lineage: Eukaryota; Metazoa; Chordata; Mammalia; Rodentia; Sciuridae. RNAcentral also lists the same sequence under 3 other names. The record is from Rfam by way of RNAcentral.